AACCUUUGAACGUGCCAGUAAGUAAGAUGGCGAGAAAAGCAAGAGAGCGUGGGACCGAUCGAUAGCGCAGCGGUCGGCUUGGCGCCCUUUCAGCGUGCGCAGUGAACGUGCGCUCGGAGCGGUAGAUUGGGCAGGAUUCGCGCCUCCAUUUUUCCAGGAGAGAGCGGGAUACCGAGAGAACCGGACCAGCUGCUGGCAGGGAAACUGUCUUCCUUUUCUCCAAGAUGUACAGAACCAAAGUGGGCUUGAAGGACCGCCAGCAGCUCUACAAGCUGAUCAUUAGCCAGCUGCUAUAUGACGGCUACAUCAGCAUCGCCAAUGGCCUCAUCAAUGAAAUCAAGCCUCAGUCUGUGUGUGCACCCUCGGAGCAGCUCCUGCAUCUCAUCAAACUAGUUUCUGUAGUUAUAGAUAAAGUAGUAAACUCUGGAGGCAAGAACCUGGGGAAAUGACUUUGUCUAUUGGAGCCUAACCUUCCAGCAACCCAUGUGGCCUCACAGCGUGGUGAACUUUGAAUAGCAUGGGCAAAAUACACAGUUUUGUAAAGUAUUAGGUGUCACGCGAC
This 562-nucleotide small RNA is filed under the name Pan troglodytes (chimpanzee). RNAcentral describes it as "processed transcript". The record is from RNAcentral. Lineage: Eukaryota; Metazoa; Chordata; Mammalia; Primates; Hominidae.